RNAcentral lists this ribosomal RNA (553 nucleotides) under uncultured bacterium. Its description in RNAcentral is "bacterial SSU rRNA". It matches the Rfam family "Bacterial small subunit ribosomal RNA", at positions 776 to 1329 of the family's 1533-position model. The record is from RNAcentral.
GAAUAGACUACCCGGGUAGUCCACGCCCUAAACUAUGUCAACUAGUUGUCGGGGAAGAAAUUCCUUGGUAACGCAGCUAACGCGUGAAGUUGACCGCCUGGGGAGUACGGCCGCAAGGUUAAAACUCAAAGGAAUUGACGGGGACCCGCACAAGCGGUGGAUUAUGUGGAUUAAUUCGAUGCAACGCGAAAAACCUUACCUACCCUUGACAUGUACGGAAUUCCGCAGAGAUGUGGAAGUGCCCGAAAGGGAACCGUAACACAGGUGCUGCAUGGCUGUCGUCAGCUUGUGUCGUGAGAUGUUGGGUUAAGUCCCGCAACGAGCGCAACCCUUGCCAUUAGUUGCUACAUUCAGUUGGGCACUCUAAUGGGACCGCCGGUGACAAACCGGAGGAAGGUGGGGAUGACGUCAAGUCCUCAUGGCCCUUAUGGGUAGGGCUUCACACGUAAUACAAUGGUCGGUACAGAGGGCUGCCAACCCGCAAGGGGGAGCUAAUCCCAGAAAGCCGAUCGUAGUCCGGAUUGUAGUCUGCAACUCGACUGCAUGAAGCCGG